UGCACCGACGCCCGCAUUGUAAAGUCAAAAAUAAGCUCGGUUGACGCUAAAAAUAGUGGCUCAAUGUCGCUAUUGCUUAGUCGUUUCGCGAACAUCGUGGAAAACUGUCGUGACGAUUGCAUUAAAAAUAGAAACAAAAACUACAAAAAAAUCGCCCAAAAAAGAACUUUAUGAUACAUAGGGUAGCAAUCGGAUUUCGAAACCGACUUUAAUCCGAAAAGAGCACCCUCGUGAUCGGGUUACGUAAGCAGUCGACGUUCAGCUGACGGUGAUUAAUUUUCUGUUCUUAAUCCGAAAAUAGUCGCAAAAUUCUGGCGGUGGUUAUUACGAUUUUCGGAGGCUGUUUUACGUUGGAGGUCAGUAGUUCAAUCAAGCGAAUGUUUGAAUUUGAAUUGGAAAUUUCAAUUGAUCUUUGAGAAAAUGUUCGAUAUGGUAUUUCUGAAGCAAAUCGACCUACAGUGGGAUGGAUCGUGUUGAUAGACGUCGUCGCAGAAGCAGGAACCACAAAGCAAAAAAGCCACCAAAGGUUCCAAUUAAAACUUACAGGUGGGAGGAUAUAAGACGGUGGCGAAGAAGAGGAGGUUAUCCAUGGACACAUCUCUAUAAAGGACCAUAUUCAGAAAAAGUGGAUCCACAGCAGUUUACUAUGGAAGCUUUUAGGAAGGCAAAAUCGUCCGACCGAAUAGAUGCGUCCGAAGUAUCAUCGUGGGCCGAUUACAGCGGAAAAACAACGCCAACGUUACUUCAUGAGUUAACUCGUGAGCCACCUUCCAAAAAAUCCUCCAGACCUGGGUCGUUUAUUCUGGAUGACGACCUUGAGGAUGAUGUGCAGGGCAACGGAUUUCGGGCAGCCACAUGUCCAAUGGAUGUCCAUAAUUUGUCCGAUUGCUGUCCAAUUGACGUCCAUUUUCCUAUACAAAUGUCACAGAAUCCUACCUCC
This is a long non-coding RNA of Dendroctonus ponderosae (mountain pine beetle), 940 nucleotides long. RefSeq lists it as uncharacterized. The transcript has 5 exons. Lineage: Eukaryota; Metazoa; Arthropoda; Insecta; Coleoptera; Curculionidae. The record is from RefSeq and is a predicted model, not a curated record.